ACUUUGAUUCUGGCUCAGGAUAAACGCUGGCGGCGCACAUAAGACAUGCAAGUCGAACGGACUUAAUCCAUUCUUUUAGAUUGGAAGCGGUUAGUGGCGGACUGGUGAGUAACGCGUGAGCAACCUGCCUAUUAGAGGGGAAUAACAGUGAGAAAUCAUUGCUAAUACCGCAUAAGCUGAUAAUAUCGCAUGAUAAAGUCAGAAAAGGAGCAAUCCGCUAAUAGAUGGGCUCGCGUCUGAUUAGCUAGUUGGUGGGGUAACGGCCUACCAAGGCGACGAUCAGUAGCCGGACUGAGAGGUUGAACGGCCACGUUGGGACUGAGAUACGGCCCAGACUCCUACGGGAGGCAGCAGUCGGGAAUAUUGCGCAAUGGAGGAAACUCUGACGCAGUGACGCCGCGUAUGGGAAGAAGGUUUUCGGAUUGUAAACCAUUGUCGUUAGGGAAGAAGAAGUGACAGUACCUAAGGAGGAAGCUCCGGCUAACUAUGUGCCAGCAGCCGCGGUAAUACAUAGGGAGCGAGCGUUAUCCGGAUUUAUUGGGUGUAAAGGGUGCGUAGACGGGAAUUUAAGUUGGUUGUGAAAUCCCUCGGCUCAACCGAGGAACUGCAACCAAAACUGGAUUUCUUGAGUGCUGGAGAGGAAAGUGGAAUUCCUAGUGUAGCGGUGAAAUGCGUAGAUAUUAGGAGGAACACCGGUGGCGAAGGCGACUUUCUGGACAGUAACUGACGUUGAGGCACGAAAGUGGGGGGAGCAAACAGGAUUAGAUACCCUGGUAGUCCACACCGUAAACGAUGGAUACUAGGUGUAGGGUUUAGUAAAGACUCUGUGCCGUCGCAAACGCAAUAAGUAUCCCACCUGGGGAGUACGACCGCAAGGUUGCAACUCAAAGGAAUUGACGGA
RNAcentral lists this ribosomal RNA (901 nucleotides) under uncultured Bacillota bacterium. RNAcentral describes it as "bacterial SSU rRNA". It matches the Rfam family "Bacterial small subunit ribosomal RNA", at positions 10 to 917 of the family's 1533-position model. The record is from RNAcentral. Lineage: Bacteria; Bacillati; Bacillota.